This 397-nucleotide unclassified non-coding RNA is filed under the name soil metagenome. RNAcentral describes it as "partial contains 5.8S ribosomal RNA, internal transcribed spacer 2, and large subunit ribosomal RNA". The stretch from base 1 to 122 matches the Rfam family "5.8S ribosomal RNA", at positions 35 to 154 of the family's 154-position model. The record is from RNAcentral.
GAUGAAGAACGUAGCGAAAUGCGAUACUUGGUGUGAAUUGCAGAAUCCCGUGAACCAUCGAGUCUUUGAACGCAAGUUGCGCCUCAAGCCAUUAGGUUGAGGGCACGUCUGCCUGGGCGUCACAUAUCGUUGCCUGAUGCCAGUUUCCUCGUGAUGGGUGACUGUGCAGGGCGAAUGAUGGCUUCCCGUGAGCAUUGUUGCCUCAUGGUUGGUUGAAAAUUGAGUCCUUGGUAGGGAGCGCCGUGAUAGAUGGUGGUCGAGUUAGCCCGAGACCGAUCAUGUGCAUGCUCCCCAAAAUAUGGCCUCUGUGACCCACACGCGUCUUUUGACGCUCAUGACGAGACCUCAGGUCAGGCGGGGCUACCCGCUGAAUUUAAGCAUAUCAAUAAGCGGAGGA